UUUCCUACGGGGGGCAGCAGUGGGGAAUAUUGCACAAUGGGGGGAACCCUGAUGCAGCGACGCCGCGUGAGCGAAGAGGUAUUUCGGUAUGUAAAGCUCUAUCAGCAGGGAAGAAAAUGACGGUACCUGACUAAGAAGCCCCGGCUAACUACGUGCCAGCAGCCGCGGUAAUACGUAGGGGGCAAGCGUUAUCCGGAUUUACUGGGUGUAAAGGGGGCGCAGACGGCCAUGGCAAGCCCGGUGUGAAAGGCAGGGGCAUCACCCCUGGACUGCACUGGGAACUGUCAGGCUGGAGUGCCGGAGGG
Molecule: ribosomal RNA, 305 nt
Filed under: uncultured bacterium
Lineage: Bacteria
Description: bacterial SSU rRNA
Rfam family: Bacterial small subunit ribosomal RNA
Source: RNAcentral